Hyla sarda is the source of this 1881-nucleotide non-coding RNA. The record is from the annotation of a RefSeq genome assembly. Lineage: Eukaryota; Metazoa; Chordata; Amphibia; Anura; Hylidae.
AUGCUCCUGCCAUGCACCAAGCCUGCCGACAGAUUAAAUAUAAAAGACGAACAGGACCACAGAUCAGGGGUGGUAAUUGCUAGAACUCCCCAUGAACGAACAAUGGUGGAGCUACUUUUCUUAGAACUACAGAACAGACCAAAAAUUCCCGAUGAUGACCAAAGUGAAGUUAGCAAUGAGUCGAAUCAUGAACACAGGGUUGAUACAAAAGGUCCUACAGUCUUUCCUCUGUUGCCCUGCUGUAAUCCUGCACCCUCUGGUACAGUCUCUAUUGGGUGUUUGUCUACUGGUUACUUCCCAACUCCUGUAGACGUACAGUGGAAUUCUGGUUCUAUUACAAGUGGAAUUAGGAACUUCCCAGCUAUACUUGGAAGCCAGGGCUUCUUCCACUCAACUAGUCUACUGACUAUCUCUGCAUCUGACUGGACAAGUGAUAAGAAAUAUGUGUGUAAUGUAAACCACAAACCAUCUGGUGUUAAAAUCGACAAAGAGGUUCCAGCAUGUUCUUCAGGACGUGAACCCAGUUCACCUACAGUAGAAGUCAUGCAGGCUUCCUGUGGUGAAAAAGGUUCUGUUGAUCUGGUAUGUUACAUUAGCGGAUACUCUCCUCUGGAUAUUACCAUACGAUGGCUGUUGAAUGGAGAGGAGACAUCUAUUAUCUCAUCUAACAGCACUCCUUACAAAGACAAUGAUGGCACCUUUGGGUCUUUAAGCAGAGUCAGUGUUCCAAAAAAUGACUGGAAUGCUGGAGAUUCCUACACAUGUAAAGUGAUUCAUCCAGCAACUCAGACCAGAAAAGAAGACACUAUAAAGAAGUGUCCAGUGCCAGAAAAUCUAGUUCCAAAGGUUGUUGUCUACCCGCCUUCUCCUAAAGACAUCUUAGUCACUAAACAACCAAAAGUAACCUGUCAGGUGUCUCAGUUAGAAUCUCCAGACACCUUAGUUAUCAACUGGAUCCGAGAGGAUGGCAAAAAAGCAUUGUCAUUUACUUCAGAACCUGAAAUAGAUUACUCUGGGCAAUAUAUUGUCAAAAGUACAUUAAAACUAAGUUUAUCUGAUUGGUCAAGUGGCAAAUCCUUCACCUGCGUUGUCCAAACCAGUGACCUUCCAUCUCCAAUAGAAAAGCAAAUUAAAAUGACAGAAGUUGAAACCAUAGAACCAGCAGUUUAUAUCUUCCCACCGCAUGCGGAUGAACUUUUAUCCCAUGACUUUGUUACUGUGACCUGCCUUGUUAAAAACUUCAAGCCUAAACCUAUUAAUAUCCAGUGGUUGAAGAAUAGCAUUGUCCAGGAUGAGGACUACUACAAAAACACUGAGCCUAUCCAGCAAGAAGAUGAAGAGACCUACUUUAUGUAUAGUACACUCACAAUUGAAAAAUCUGACUGGAACAGAGGUGCAACUUUAACAUGCAGGGCUAUUCAUGGCAAGAUCACUUCCAAAGACAUAAAGAAAUCUAGGGGUAAAUAAUUUUUGUGAUUUUCUCCCUGACCAGGCCCAAAUGCUUGUUGACUUGUCCUCCUAUAUAUUAUUUAGUAUCUGUAAACCAUUUUUUUAAAUCAGUUUGAUGUGUGGAACAUCAGCCACUAAUGUUUAGCGUCAUAAGGCGAUGCCGAUAUUAAGUUAGCAACAUUUAGUUGUGUUUCCAGUGUUUCUAGGACACAGUUAUGAAGCCUCAAUACCAACACAUAACACAGAUUUGAUCUUAACAUAUAGUAACUGCAUUGUACUAAUAUUAGCCAUCAUGAUUCUAACCAAUGUAUGUCAUGUAUAUCUACUCUGUAUCCCUUCUCGUGUGUCUGGUGUGUGGAACACUAGAUUUUGUCUUGUUAUGUCAUGCAUGCUUGUAUCUCAAUAAACUCUUGUUUAAGAUGAUAUUACUAA